UUUGAUUCGGUCGGUGUCCCCAACUUGGAUGAGACCGUACUUGUGUGUUGAAUUGUAAUUAUGCAACGGCGGGUGUGGCGAUUGUAAAUGCUUUUGGCAGCAGAGAAACAACACCUAAGAAAAGGCCAGUGGAUAGAGUUGAGUGACGGGAUGUCCAAGUGCAAUGAACUUCUUACACGUAAAAACUUUUAUAGAAACUCGGUUUGUUUUGCUUUUGUCGAAUUCCCUCGACAUCUUUGCCUUUUUGUGCAACUUGAGGGAAACAGUCGGCUCCAGUGGGGUUGGGCCUGUCGUUGGCCUCCUGAUUUGAUUGUGCUACUUGAGGGAUGCAGCCGGCUCCAGUGGCGCUGGCCCCCCGAUUUGAGGUGGUUCGCUUGGUUUCGCAUGGUUGCUUCCACUUAGGCACUUAUAUCCCCCAAAAAGUGAAUCCCGCUCAUAAUAUU
Molecule: long non-coding RNA, 443 nt
Filed under: Citrus maxima (pomelo)
Lineage: Eukaryota; Viridiplantae; Streptophyta; Magnoliopsida; Sapindales; Rutaceae
Description: long non-coding RNA (CMAX_LNC003273)
Source: RNAcentral